Long non-coding RNA from Myotis brandtii (Brandt's bat), 817 nucleotides. RefSeq lists it as uncharacterized. The transcript is spliced from 3 exons. The record is from RefSeq and is a predicted model, not a curated record. Lineage: Eukaryota; Metazoa; Chordata; Mammalia; Chiroptera; Vespertilionidae.
AAAUAUCCUCAGGUAAGGAUUAACAAAGCAAACAAAAAAACCAAAAGACACAGAAGAAGAGCCAUGUGGCUGCUACUCUCCCAAGGCACCUCACUGAGGACAAGUGUCAUCUUUUAUUGUUAUUUUAUUUAUAAAUAGAUUAAGUAUAUUUAUUAGGGAAGGUCUUGAUGGUAAAGAAUAUUUGUCUACAUUUAGUUCCUUUUAAUAUAUUUUUUAUUCAUAUAAACUACAUGUAUAGAAAAGCACCUUCAACAAGGCUCUGUGAAGUCUAGCUCUGUCCUGGGAUCACCCACAUGGGUGUUUUCCUGCAGUGGGACACGCACCAUUGCUCUUUUCCCUCCAGUUGUCAAGAAAUUCCCUUUGAGGUGGUUCAAGAGAAGGAGCAGAGGAAACAAUGUGUGUGGGGAGGAGAAAUCAAAGAGAAUAUGCGAACUUAGAGUGCUGGAGAUGAAAAGGGUAAGGCAAGAUCAUGGCUCAAGAUUAUAAAAAGGAAGGGACCCACAUAAGGGAUCCAAAUACAAGAUUCACAAGGAAAUCAUCUGCAGUCAAAAGAAUCUACUGGCGUCCCCAGCAGUGGCUCAGCAGAUGAAAAUGGGCAUCUGUCCAAAUGACAGGUAGAGGCACAAAUGCCGCUCCCCCACUUCACAGAAGUGUUGUGACUCUGGGCAAGACACUUCAUCUCUCCAAAUUUCAAUGCCCUGAACCAUACAAUCUGGAUCACAGCUUUUACUGUGCUCACCCUGUAGUGCUGCUUUAAACAUUAGAAGAUGUAACGGAUUUUUUCCAUGAGCUCCGACCUAGCCAAUAUAAAGGUAUG